Molecule: ribosomal RNA, 255 nt
Filed under: uncultured bacterium
Lineage: Bacteria
Description: partial 16S ribosomal RNA
Rfam family: Archaeal small subunit ribosomal RNA
Source: RNAcentral
UACCAGCACCCCGAGUGGUCGGGACGUUUAUUGGGCCUAAAGCAUCCGUAGCCGGUUCUACAAGUCUUCCGUUAAAUCCAGCUGCUUAACAGAUGGGCUGCGGAAGAUACUAUGGAGCUAGGAGGCGGGAGAGGCAAGCGGUACUCGAUGGGUAGGGGUAAAAUCCGUUGAUCCAUUGAAGACCACCAGUGGCGAAGGCGGCUUGCCAGAACGCGCUCGACGGUGAGGGAUGAAAGCUGGGGGGAGCAAACCGGG